This is a long non-coding RNA of Mesocricetus auratus (golden hamster), 1131 nucleotides long. RefSeq lists it as uncharacterized. The record is from RefSeq and is a predicted model, not a curated record. NCBI's taxonomy places the organism in Eukaryota, Metazoa, Chordata, Mammalia, Rodentia, Cricetidae. The transcript is spliced from 3 exons.
GGAAAGCCAGGCCCGGGCAAGGGAAAAACCAGGCUGUAAGUUCAUGCUCAAAAUGCCGACCUGGAACAGGAUAGCGCUUUUCUUGGAGGCCUGGGGCUGGAUCCUCCCAAACUGCAGGCCAGCUGGGGUGCGGCUGACUGGAAACUGAGUCGGUGAGAGAAGCAGAAGCAGCUUACAGGGCUCUUUAUCCCGGGCCUCGGGGCCCAGUUCCCUUCCUGACCGCGAAAGACCCAGUGGGAGGGGGGGCUCCGUCUGGCUCUAGUCCCUGUGAGCACAAAGCCUCCUCUGUGCUCCCUGCCACCUCACCCCCUGGCCUCCUCACCUCUUUGGCCUUUGCCUCUCUUGGUCUUGAUCCUCUCCCCAAUCCUGGGUAGCCCUUCUAGACCCUUUCCCCUUUUAGAGAACUAUAUCCUAACUCCAGAAGCCGUGGGAUCGCACCCCUGGCUCCGGAGCCCAGGGAGACAUCAGCAAGAUGCUGCUUUGUUUGUGAAGCCGGAAGGCGCUGAGAGGGGAAGGGUCUUCUUGGAGCUGUCAGACCGAUUUCCAACCCUGCUGAGAACAAACCCAAAGCCCUUCCCCCGGACUGGGAGGCCACGUCCCACCAGAGCUUAUCCGGGUGUCUGUUAGCCUGGUGCACCGGACAGCUCACCUCAACAGCCACUCCAGGUUUCAAGCACAGCUUUCCCAGAGAAGAACACCUAAGAGCUGACCUCUGCACCCCAGGAACUCAAGACCACCAGCAUGUCGCUACCUGGGAGGCUGCAAGAGGAAGGAACUGUUCACCUCUGCAAAAUGUUAAGACUGUGUUCCCAGACUUCCCAGCGUGUGGCUUUCCAUUCUGAGAGUCUCCAGAUGCUGCGCCACGGUGGCCAAGCCGGGCAUUGCGUGGCAUUGGCUUGGGGGUGCCACACGGGGAGAUGUGGAGUCUGUACGGCCCCCUGGCUGCGUGUUGAAAUGGAGGCUUCGUCUGUGUUUCCUCUUCUGUGGAAUAGUUUCACUACUAUAGCUGUGUGAGGGCAACCCUGACUCUACUCUGUGGUGGUUUGAGGAAGAAUGGCCUCAUAGGCUCAUAGAUUGGAGUGCUCAGGGAGUGGCAUUGGGAGGUGUGGUCUUGCUGGAGAAAGUGUGUCA